This 462-nucleotide ribosomal RNA is filed under the name uncultured bacterium. RNAcentral's name for it is "partial 16S ribosomal RNA". It matches the Rfam family "Bacterial small subunit ribosomal RNA", at positions 28 to 507 of the family's 1533-position model. The record is from RNAcentral.
GACGAACGCUGGCGGCGUGCUUAACACAUGCAAGUCGAGCGGAAAGGCCCUUCGGGGUACUCGAGCGGCGAACGGGUGAGUAACACGUGAGUAACCUGCCCCAGACUUUGGGAUAACCCUCGGAAACGGGGGCUAAUACCGGAUACGACACAGCUUCGCAUGGGGUCUGUGUGGAAAGUUUUUCGGUUUGGGAUGGGCUCGCGGCCUAUCAGCUUGUUGGUGGGGUGAUGGCCUACCAAGGCGACGACGGGUAGCCGGCCUGAGAGGGCGACCGGCCACACUGGGACUGAGAUACGGCCCAGACUCCUACGGGAGGCAGCAGUGGGGAAUAUUGCACAAUGGGCGGAAGCCUGAUGCAGCGACGCCGCGUGAGGGAUGACGGCCUUCGGGUUGUAAACCGCUUUCAGCAGGGACGAAGCGUAAGUGACGGUACCUGGAGAAGAAGCGCCGGCCAACUACGUG